Molecule: non-coding RNA, 85 nt
Submitted as: unclassified sequences
Source: Rfam
UCUGUGGAUCGUCACACCAAAUGAAAGUAGUCAGUAAGAAUGAUUAUUCAUUUUUGCGACAAAAUCAGACGGGUUUAAGCAGAAA